GCCUACUAAGAAGAAGACAAGAAAGGGAAAAUUCAAGAUAAACAAGUCUGCUGUAGCUUUUGCCUUGGGUUUGAGUCUUGCUGGUGCUGGUUUGUUACUUGGUUGGACCAUGGGAUGGCUAUUUCCUGCCCUCUAAACCAUCUUUCUGGUUCGCUUAGAUUCACGUAGGUAUGUUUCAUGCGUUUUCUAUCAGACCACGUCGAAGAUAUAAUAUUCUAGUAGAUAGGAUUGCAUAUUCU
This 239-nucleotide unclassified non-coding RNA is filed under the name Hevea brasiliensis (rubber tree). Lineage: Eukaryota; Viridiplantae; Streptophyta; Magnoliopsida; Malpighiales; Euphorbiaceae. The record is from RNAcentral.